Molecule: ribosomal RNA, 453 nt
Filed under: uncultured bacterium
Lineage: Bacteria
Description: bacterial SSU rRNA
Rfam family: Bacterial small subunit ribosomal RNA
Source: RNAcentral
AUUGAACGCUGGCGGCAUGCCUAACACAUGCAAGUCGAACGGCAGCACAGCAGUAGCAAUACUGUGGGUGGCGAGUGGCGGACGGGUGAGGAAUACGUCGGAAUCUGCCCAGUCGUGGGGGAUAACUAGCCGAAAGGUUAGCUAAUACCGCAUACGACCGAGAGGUGAAAGCGGGGGACCGCAAGGCCUCGCGCGAUUGGAUGAGCCGACGUCGGAUUAGCUAGUUGGCGGGGUAAAGGCCCACCAAGGCGACGAUCCGUAGCUGGUCUGAGAGGAUGAUCAGCCACACUGGAACUGAGACACGGUCCAGACUCCUACGGGAGGCAGCAGUGGGGAAUAUUGGACAAUGGGCGCAAGCCUGAUCCAGCAAUGCCGCGUGUGUGAAGAAGGCCUCGGUUGUAAGACACUUUAUCUAGAACGGAAAGACGUUGGAGUUAAUACUACUGACGUAGC